This 253-nucleotide ribosomal RNA is filed under the name uncultured bacterium. RNAcentral's name for it is "partial 16S ribosomal RNA". It matches the Rfam family "Bacterial small subunit ribosomal RNA", at positions 524 to 776 of the family's 1533-position model. The record is from RNAcentral.
UACGUAUGGUGCAAGUGUUAUCCGGAUUCACUGGGCGUAAAGGGAGCGCAGGCGGCACGGCAAGUCUGGUGUGAAAACCCGGGGCUCAACCCCGGGACUGCAUUGGAAACUGCCGGGCUGGAGUGUCGGAGGGGUAAGCGGAAUUCCUAGUGUAGCGGUGAAAUGCGUAGAUAUUAGGAGGAACACCAGUGGCGAAGGCGGCUUACUGGACGAUGACUGACGCUGAGGCUCGAAAGCGUGGGGAGCAAACAGG